GUGGCUGAGGAGGGCAUUGCUGCUGGCGGUGUGAUGGUUGUUAACACUGCUUUACAAGCGGUGCUGAAGACCACUCUCGUCCAUGAUGGCCCAGCACAUGAGAUUCGCGGAGCCGCCAGAGCCUUAGACAAGUACCAAGCCCAUCUUUGUGUGCCUGUAUCCAACUGUGAUGAGCGCGUGUGUGUGUGUGUGAAGUUGGUGGAGGCCCAUGUGCUGAACACCAGAUUAGCCUAAUUAAGGUUGAUGAAAACAAGAAACUAGGGAAUGGGUGGGCCUCUGUAAUACUGACAGAGGGAAGACCCUGUAGAAAGGUUGGUUGAAGUUGUGUAAUAGUUAAGGACUAUGGAAGUUAUAAGGAAUCUCAGGCCAAGGAUGUCAUUGAAGAGCACUUUAAAUGCAAGAAAUGA
RNAcentral lists this long non-coding RNA (407 nucleotides) under Homo sapiens (human). RNAcentral's name for it is "non-protein coding lnc-CUL2-4:1". The record is from RNAcentral. Lineage: Eukaryota; Metazoa; Chordata; Mammalia; Primates; Hominidae.